Molecule: ribosomal RNA, 404 nt
Filed under: Actinomycetes bacterium
Lineage: Bacteria; Bacillati; Actinomycetota; Actinomycetes
Description: Actinobacteria bacterium partial 16S ribosomal RNA
Rfam family: Bacterial small subunit ribosomal RNA
Source: RNAcentral
UGGGGAAUAUUGGACAAUGGGCGCAAGCCUGAUCCAGCCAUGCCGCGUGAGUGAUGAAGGCCCUAGGGUUGUAAAGCUCUUUCACCGGUGAAGAUAAUGACGGUAACCGGAGAAGAAGCCCCGGCUAACUUCGUGCCAGCAGCCGCGGUAAUACGAAGGGGGCUAGCGUUGUUCGGAUUUACUGGGCGUAAAGCGCACGUAGGCGGACUUUUAAGUCAGGGGUGAAAUCCCGGGGCUCAACCCCGGAACUGCCUUUGAUACUGGAAGUCUUGAGUAUGGUAGAGGUGAGUGGAAUUCCGAGUGUAGAGGUGAAAUUCGUAGAUAUUCGGAGGAACACCAGUGGCGAUGGCGGCUCACUGGACCAUUACUGACGCUGAGGUGCGAAAGCGUGGGGAGCAAACAGG